RNAcentral lists this ribosomal RNA (484 nucleotides) under uncultured bacterium. RNAcentral's name for it is "partial 16S ribosomal RNA". It matches the Rfam family "Bacterial small subunit ribosomal RNA", at positions 30 to 507 of the family's 1533-position model. The record is from RNAcentral.
AUUGAACGCUGGCGGCAGGCCUAACACAUGCAAGUCGAGCGGAUGAAGGGAGCUUGCUCCUGGUUUCGGCGGCGGACGGGUGAGUAGUGCCUAGGAAUCUGCCUGUUAGUGUUUGAUAACGGCCGGAAACGGGCGCUAAUACCGCAUACCUCCUGAGGGCGAACGUGGGAGAUCUUGGGACCUCACGCUAUCAGAUGAGCCGAGGUCGGAUUAGCUAGUUGGUGGGGUAAAGGCCUACCAAGGCGACGAUCCGUAGCUGGUCUGAGAGGAUGAUCAGCCACACUGGAACUGAGACACGGUCCAGACUCCUACGGGAGGCAGCAGUGGGGAAUAUUGGACAAUGGGCGCAAGCCUGAUCCAGCCAUGCCGCGUGUGUGAAGAAGGCCUUCGGAUUGUAAAGCCCUUUUGGUGGGGAGGAAAAGCAGCAGGUUAAUACCCCGCUGUUUUGACGGUACCCAAAGAAUAAGCACCGGCUAACUUCGUG